Carassius gibelio (silver crucian carp) is the source of this 1851-nucleotide long non-coding RNA. RefSeq lists it as uncharacterized. The transcript is spliced from 5 exons. The record is from RefSeq and is a predicted model, not a curated record. NCBI's taxonomy places the organism in Eukaryota, Metazoa, Chordata, Actinopteri, Cypriniformes, Cyprinidae.
AUGACCUCAAGUCAUCACUGAUUUAUUGUUACAUAUGAAUAUGAUGACCUCAAGUCAUCACUGAUUUAUUGUUACAUAUGAAUAUGAUGACCUCAAGUCAUUACUGAUUUAUUCUGUCACAUAUGAAUAUGAUGACCUCAAGUCAUCACUGAUUUAUUUUAGAUUGCUUCGGGGGUACCGCGGCGGAGUAACCCAGUACCUUUGGGAUUCUUCAUAGACAUAAACAGAGAGAAGUAGCUCCAGCUACAAUGUUCUUCUGCACGACGCAAGCAGUUCUGUUUAUUAACCGCUAGAGCGUCAAAAGUUCCCUACCGCAGCUUUAAAUGUAGUUCAACUUUCAGUUCACUGUAACAUCUUGGAAUCCAAAAUUCCAGAUGGAUCUAAGAUAUUACAGUUUGCUCAAAAAAACUUUUCCUCAUGAUUAUAUAAUGACCUAUACAAUAUAAUGAGAUAAGAUCUAUCAUUAAAAACUGUCUGUUACUUCUGUAUUUAAAGUGCACCAAGUGACCAAGAGCACACAAUGGAAGGUAUGAUUUCACUUAAGGGGGAUUGCUUCUCCAUAACCUACAUGAUAAGCAACUUAUUUUACAGCAUGUUGUUAUAAAAAUACCUUUACAAUGUAUUCAGAUCUGCAUUUCCCAUAUUUAUUGUUUAUUGUUAAAAUUAGUGUGGUUGCAAAAUGUGUCAUUUAUUAAUUAUUAUUCAUCUGCGUAGAUAAGGCAUUAAGGUGUCUCCAAAACAAGAGCCCAAUAUUCACAUUAGGAAGUGUAUGGCCAUAUGACAUUCAAGUGAACAGUUUGAACACUUUAAUGAGGGAUGAGCAAGUUUCUGACGAGGUAAAUUAUUAUCCGUUAUAAAUUCUUACACUUAUUUUCUGUCACGUAUUUCCUACCACCAAAACAAGCCACCAUGGCCUACUUCUAGAAUUUAGCCUUCAAACAUGUUUUCUGUUCUACUCGUCCACUGGAGUUCUGUAUAUUUUUAACUAAAUAUUUUUUUACAAAAUGUAUUUGCUUGCCGGGUUAGGUUUUUUUUCUACAUAGUUAAAGAGUAUGAAAAAGGACUAGUGAUAUAAAUGAUUCACAACAUUUCUGUGUGACAAAAAAAUAGAGCAGUUAUUUUUUUUUACUUAUUUUUUUUAAAUCUCACAUUUGUCCUUGAAAUAUUCAGGUCAUGAAUUCCAUAUGUGAUAUCCUUAGCAAGGUAAGUGAAAUUUUAUCAGCAAUAUCUUGAAGAGUACACCUAAAUAAUGAUAAUAUUAAUAAUAAAAUAGAAAUUAAUGAUACACAUACGAAUAUAAUUUUAAAACUGUACAGUUAAGCUUGAUUUGUAACGUUAAUAUAUUCAACUCUGUUGAAAUGGAAAACAAUAUUUUGUUUUGCCUUAAAACAGGAUCGCCCAGGUGUUGUACAUAUCAAUUGUCAGGCCCUCACGAAAAUACUGGAUGGAUCUAAAAGGGCAAAGAGCCACUAUUUUCUCAAGAACAACAUUUUGGAAAGGGCAACAGAGGUGUUUGGAGUGUAUCUCGAGAAUGGCAAUCACUGGAGCUUUUUUCAUUGCAAUGUUGACAGAAGGUGCAUCACCUACUUUAACUCACUUGGAGAGACAGAGUGGCAAUGCCAAGCAAUUGCUCAGCACUGGUCUGCAUUUGCAGCCUCAAGGGGAGUAAAAGGAGAGUGGGACCUCAAAACCACAAAACAUAAUUUGCAAGCCGAUUCAGUGUCAUGUGGUAUCCACACACUUGCAUUUGCCACUGAAUUUCUGAAGGCUGGUGGCUUUAUAACCUCCUUCCAGUGCCCUGUAAUACAACAGGAAAGAAUGCGCCUGUCCUCACUUUUGUUUGAAUCUUUA